AACGAACGCUGGCGGCAUGCCUAACACAUGCAAGUCGAACGAGACCUUCGGGUCUAGUGGCGCACGGGUGCGUAACACGUGGGAAUCUGCCCUUUGCUUCGGAAUAACAGUUAGAAAUGACUGCUAAUACCGGAUGAUGUCGAAAGACCAAAGAUUUAUCGGCAAAGGAUGAGCCCGCGUAGGAUUAGGUAGUUGGUGGGGUAAAGGCCUACCAAGCCGACGAUCCUUAGCUGGUCUGAGAGGAUGAUCAGCCACACUGGGACUGAGGCACGGCCCAGACUCCUACGGGAGGCAGCAGUGGGGAAUAUUGGACAAUGGGCGAAAGCCUGAUCCAGCAAUGCCGCGUGAGUGAUGAAGGCCUUAGGGUUGUAAAGCUCUUUUACCAGGGAUGAUAAUGACAGUACCUGGAGAAUAAGCUCCGGCUAACUCCGUG
Molecule: ribosomal RNA, 433 nt
Filed under: uncultured bacterium
Lineage: Bacteria
Description: partial 16S ribosomal RNA
Rfam family: Bacterial small subunit ribosomal RNA
Source: RNAcentral